ACGUAGGUGGCAAGCGUUGUCCGGAAUUAUUGGGCGUAAAGGGUGCGCAGGCGGUCCCUUAAGUCUGUCUUAAAAGUGCGGGGCUUAACCCCGUGAGGGGACGGAAACUGGGAGACUGGAGUAUCGGAGAGGAAAGCAGAAUUCCUAGUGUAGCGGUGAAAUGCGUAGAUAUUAGGAGGAAUACCAGUGGCGAAAGCGGCUUUCUGGACGACAACUGACGCUGAGGCACGAAAGCCAGGGGAGCGAACGG
Molecule: ribosomal RNA, 250 nt
Filed under: uncultured bacterium
Lineage: Bacteria
Description: partial 16S ribosomal RNA
Rfam family: Bacterial small subunit ribosomal RNA
Source: RNAcentral